This is a long non-coding RNA of Alnus glutinosa, 745 nucleotides long. RefSeq lists it as uncharacterized. NCBI's taxonomy places the organism in Eukaryota, Viridiplantae, Streptophyta, Magnoliopsida, Fagales, Betulaceae. The record is from RefSeq and is a predicted model, not a curated record. The transcript is spliced from 3 exons.
AAAGAAAAGAAAAGAAAAAAGUAAAUAAAUGAUGAAGGGCCAUGCGGCCCUUCCUCAAACAAAAAUGAAAAGAGGCAGUAGCCUCUGCCUCUUUUCGUUCCAAUAGAAUAUUUCUCUCAUUUUCUUUGAUCUACGAAAAUUCAACCGUCCAAACUCAAAUUUGAUUUCGGAAACGUGAAGCCUGAUCUACGUUUCUACCGAUUGGUUUGAGGAUUUGUUGUAUGGAGCUUGUUAAACACUCUCCAAAUGUUGGAUUUACAUUUGGUGAAAUUUUUGUGAUGCAUUGCAUGGUGGUGUCUAGGGGACCUAGUGCUUAAUAUCCGCGCAGCCAAGACAUUGAUGCUUUGGUUGCAGGUUCUACGGAUAUAGAUAUUGACUCGUUCACCUAGCGUAUGGGAUGCUAUGAUUGGAGCACAUCGCGACAGUCAUAAAUCACGGACUUAUGGGUAGUCCGUAUUUUAGAUAUUUUAUUUAUGGCUCGUGUCCUACGUGGUUUACGUAUUUGCUGUAUUUUGAUAUGUAAUUAUAGUAAAAUGAUUUGUAAGCUUUAAUCAGUUAGACAUGUAAAUAGCUCUUGUUGUUGAUAACAGUUAUGUAUUAGAUGUAUUUCCGCUAUUGAUAUGUGUUUCGCUGCACAUUGAUAUUUUUAUUCCGCUGUGUUAGAUGUAACUCUGAAUAUCAGGUACAUAUUAUGGAACAUAUACGUUAUGUUGGCUAAGCGACAAGUAGUCGUGCCAUUGUGAAG